RNAcentral lists this long non-coding RNA (1432 nucleotides) under Anser cygnoides (Swan goose). RNAcentral's name for it is "lncRNA (ENSACDG00005014020.1)". Lineage: Eukaryota; Metazoa; Chordata; Aves; Anseriformes; Anatidae. The record is from RNAcentral.
AUGAGGAAACUAAUGUGCUGUUUUUAUUUUACAGAUGAAAAAACUGAAGUCCAACAGACAAUGUUAGUGAUGUUCCCAAGGUCAAAGCUGAGCUGCUCAACAGAGCUGGCAAUAUAUCUUAAAUUUUCAAACCAGUUCUUCACGCAUCAGGCAGUCCAUUCCAUUCUGAAGUCAUUCCAGUAUUCUCAACAAUAUUUGGGCAAUGGAAACAGUUCCUGGAGCUCCUUAUACUCAGAGGGCUCCUGUUGUCUGUAAUUCCUGUGUCAUAUCUGCCAACCUGCAUAAUUGAAGCAGCAGUAGGAGUUAUAGUUGUUACUCGUAUACCACACAUGUAAGACACCUGUUAUGUUUAAGUAGGCAAUUUGUAACUAGUAUUGGUCUUGUAACUUAAAAAUGAGGAUUACUGUAAAUAUUGAUCAUCAUUGGUAUAGUAUAUGAAUAUAUUAAAUUCUAGUCCCUGCUGUCUACAUAGUUCUUACAAAUAAUUAGUGAUACCAAUUCAAAUGAAAUGAAGCUCUCUGAGCAGAACUUUGCUUUUCCAGUGAACAGCCUUGUCACUGUAUACAGACUGUAUUUCAUCCCCAUUUCCCAUUGCCCCAGAUGCCCAUUUUGCCUUCCUGGCAGGACAGUGGAGGAAGUUCUCCAGGAAGUACUAAGGAUAUGGUAUGGUCGCUGAGUGAAGAUUGAGUCUUUCUUCUUCAUUAUAUAUGUUAUCCAGGCUAGAAGAACCAUAGUUUACCAGACAUGCAUACAUCUUUGGUCUUAAUUUUCCCACAACUUUGACUGCCUGAUCCUUCCCAGAGACUAGUAUAACUCAAAACUAUCAGGGGAAAAGAAGGGGAAAUGCAUGUUCAUUUCCCUUCCUAAUUCCACUCUCAGUUUCCUUCACUUUGCUGCUAUGUCAAAAUAUUUGUGGGCUAUGCACUUUACAUUUACAAAACCUUGUGUUACUUAUGAUGUAAUAGACCCAUAGUGAAAAAGACUUUUUGAUAGUGGAAGUAACUUGUCUGUCUGUGAGUCAUAAUCACAGAACAGUUAUUAUUGUUGCUAAAUUAAUGUCAGAACUGUAAUUUUCUGACCUACCUUGCAGAAACAUAACAAAAACACUAGACAAAGUGCAUGAUUCUGUUGUUGUUGAACAAGCUUUUAUACCAGCCUUUGUUUAAGAUUUCUUUAAACUUGCUUUGGAAUGAUUUCUUCAAAAAAAAAUUUACUAGCAAGAAGCUGUCAGCAAAAUGUUGGUAAAUACAUGAAAUAUUAUGUGAUUAAAUUUCUUGUAAAGAAGUCAAAGUGUGAGAUGAACUAUGGAAUAUACACUGAUCUACAUGAAGUACCCAGCAAUAGCAUAGACUUGGGUUAUGUAGAGUUCAUGACUGGUAGAUUAUCAUCUUAAUCAACAGAAGUAAUAAACCGCAUUUGAUUGGUUGUUUCA